UACGUAGGGUGCAAGCGUUGUCCGGAAUUAUUGGGCGUAAAGAGCUUGUAGGCGGUUUGUCGCGUCUGCUGUGAAAUUUCGGGGCUCAACCCCGAACUUGCAGUGGGUACGGGCAGACUAGAGUGUGGUAGGGGAGACUGGAAUUCCUGGUGUAGCGGUGAAAUGCGCAGAUAUCAGGAGGAACACCGAUGGCGAAGGCAGGUCCCUGGGCCACUACUGACGCUGAGAAGCGAAAGCAUGGGGAGCGAACGGG
This 253-nucleotide ribosomal RNA is filed under the name uncultured bacterium. Its description in RNAcentral is "partial 16S ribosomal RNA". It matches the Rfam family "Bacterial small subunit ribosomal RNA", at positions 524 to 776 of the family's 1533-position model. The record is from RNAcentral.